GAUGAACGCUGGCGGCGUGCCUAAUACAUGCAAGUAGAACGCUGAAGCUUGGUGCUUGCACCGAGCGGAUGAGUUGCGAACGGGUGAGUAACGCGUAGGUAACCUGCCUCUUAGCGGGGAUAACUAUUGGAAACGAUAGCUAAUACCGCAUAAAAGUCGACAUCGCAUGAUGUUGACUUGAAAGGUGCAAUUGCAUCACUAAGAGAUGGACCUGCGUUGUAUUAGCUAGUUGGUGAGGUAACGGCUCACCAAGGCGACGAUACAUAGCCGACCUGAGAGGGUGAUCGGCCACACUGGGACUGAGACACGGCCCAGACUCCUACGGGAGGCAGCAGUAGGGAAUCUUCGGCAAUGGGGGCAACCCUGACCGAGCAACGCCGCGUGAGUGAAGAAGGUUUUCGGAUCGUAAAGCUCUGUUGUAAGAGAAGAACGAGUGUGAGAGUGGAAAGUUCACACUGUGACGGUAACUUACCAGAAAGGGACGGCUAACUACGUGCCAGCAGCCGCGGUAAUACGUAGGUCCCGAGCGUUAUCCGGAUUUAUUGGGCGUAAAGCGAGCGCAGGCGGUUAGAUAAGUCUGAAGUUAAAGGCUGUGGCUUAACCAUAGUACGCUUUGGAAACUGUUUAACUUGAGUGCAGAAGGGGAGAGUGGAAUUCCAUGUGUAGCGGUGAAAUGCGUAGAUAUAUGGAGGAACACCGGUGGCGAAAGCGGCUCUCUGGUCUGUAACUGACGCUGAGGCUCGAAAGCGUGGGGAGCAAACAGG
RNAcentral lists this ribosomal RNA (764 nucleotides) under uncultured Streptococcus sp. RNAcentral's name for it is "bacterial SSU rRNA". It matches the Rfam family "Bacterial small subunit ribosomal RNA", at positions 28 to 776 of the family's 1533-position model. The record is from RNAcentral. Lineage: Bacteria; Bacillati; Bacillota; Bacilli; Lactobacillales; Streptococcaceae.